UCGCGCUAGACGGGGAGGUAGCGGUGCCCUGUAACCCGUAAUCCGCUAUAACGGGGUUGAAUUCCUGUCCGAGGCCCAUUUUGUGUGGGGUCUGGUCUGCAUGGAUCAGUGCUGACGGCCGGGUCCUGCGCAACGGGAGCUUCUGAACCGUGUCAGGUCCUGACGGAAGCAGCACUAAGGAAGAUUUCCCGUGUGCCGCAGGGGCGCCUGGUCUGAGCUGAUUGUGCAGUGCCCGCCCAUGCAGAUGGGUCGGAGACAGGUGCGCGG
RNAcentral lists this signal recognition particle RNA (267 nucleotides) under Lihuaxuella thermophila. RNAcentral describes it as "Bacterial large signal recognition particle RNA". It matches the Rfam family "Bacterial large signal recognition particle RNA". Rfam says of the family: The signal recognition particle (SRP) is a universally conserved ribonucleoprotein involved in the co-translational targeting of proteins to membranes. Archaeal SRP consists of a 7S RNA and homologues of the eukaryotic SRP19 and SRP54 proteins. Lineage: Bacteria; Bacillati; Bacillota; Bacilli; Caryophanales; Thermoactinomycetaceae. The record is from Rfam by way of RNAcentral.